CAUCACGUGGUACUGAAAGAAUUUUGGGAGGUAGUGUCCUAGCCAGACAUCCACCCAACAGUACUGACAUCUCCAUAUGGGUCCUUCUUAUGAGAUCAUUCUCUUGGUGGCAUAGCUUAAAAUCAAUUAUUUAUAUAUGAUAAAAAAAUUAAAGUAAAUUAAAUAUAAAAAAUUAUAAUAUGUAAAAUCAAUCUAUCAUGGUAGGAGAUG
This 210-nucleotide long non-coding RNA is filed under the name Elaeis guineensis (African oil palm). Its description in RNAcentral is "long non-coding RNA (EGUI_LNC063684)". Lineage: Eukaryota; Viridiplantae; Streptophyta; Magnoliopsida; Arecales; Arecaceae. The record is from RNAcentral.